This 268-nucleotide ribosomal RNA is filed under the name uncultured prokaryote. Its description in RNAcentral is "partial 16S ribosomal RNA". It matches the Rfam family "Bacterial small subunit ribosomal RNA", at positions 524 to 792 of the family's 1533-position model. The record is from RNAcentral.
UACGUAGGGGGCUAGCGUUAUCCGGAUUUACUGGGCGUAAAGGGUGCGUAGGCGGUCUUUCAAGUCAGGAGUGAAAGGCUACGGCUCAACCGUAGUAAGCUCUUGAAACUGUGAGACUUGAGUGCAGGAGAGGAGAGUGGAAUUCCUAGUGUAGCGGUGAAAUGCGUAGAUAUUAGGAGGAACACCAGUUGCGAAGGCGGCUCUCUGGACUGUAACUGACACUGAGGCACGAAAGCGUGGGGAGCAAACAGGAUUAGAUACCCGCGUA